CAGGCUGGCAGGCCGGCGGGCGCUAGGCCGCCGGGGCCUGCCGCGCGCCGUCAGCGCGCGUGGUUGGCGUACUGUUCGCCGCCGUCCAGGUCGA
RNAcentral lists this transfer RNA (94 nucleotides) under compost metagenome. Its description in RNAcentral is "tRNA-Gly". The record is from RNAcentral.